AUAUCAUCAAAUCCCCAUCUUCCUCUCGGAUGCCUGGGGCAUUUGGAUUUGGACGUCUGCCGGGUUUCGUCCUCGGCUCGUCCCAAAUGCAUUAGCUGGAUCCCUCCCUUUCCCGGUCCUCACGAUGUGAUAGUUUCAUCUACGUCGUAUUUGCCGGUCGGAAGGGCGGGCCGCUUCUAAACGGUCUUCGCCUCUUUUCGAAGACGAUUCAUCCA
This 215-nucleotide unclassified non-coding RNA is filed under the name Tremellodendropsis tuberosa. Its description in RNAcentral is "partial internal transcribed spacer 2". Lineage: Eukaryota; Fungi; Basidiomycota; Agaricomycetes; Tremellodendropsidales; Tremellodendropsidaceae. The record is from RNAcentral.